RNAcentral lists this ribosomal RNA (468 nucleotides) under uncultured bacterium. RNAcentral's name for it is "partial 16S ribosomal RNA". It matches the Rfam family "Bacterial small subunit ribosomal RNA", at positions 28 to 507 of the family's 1533-position model. The record is from RNAcentral.
GACGAACGCUGGCGGCGUGCUUAACACAUGCAAGUCGAACGGAAAGGCCCUGCUUUUGUGGGGUGCUCGAGUGGCGAACGGGUGAGUAACACGUGAGUAACCUGCCCUUGACUUUGGGAUAACUUCAGGAAACUGGGGCUAAUACCGGAUAGGAGCUCCUGCUGCAUGGUGGGGGUUGGAAAGUUUCGGCGGUUGGGGAUGGACUCGCGGCUUAUCAGCUUGUUGGUGGGGUAGUGGCUUACCAAGGCCUUGACGGGUAGCCGGCCUGGGAGGGUGACCGGCCACAUUGGGACUGAGAUACGGCCCAGACUCCUACGGGAGGCAGCAGUGGGGAAUAUUGCACAAUGGGCGGAAGCCUGAUGCGGCAACGCCGCGUGCGGGAUGACGGCCUUCGGGUUGUAAACCGCUUUCGCCUGUGACGAAGCGUGAGUGACGGUAAUGGGUAAAGAAGCACCGGCUAACUACGUG